AACGUAGGUCACAAGCGUUGUCCGGAAUUACUGGGUGUAAAGGGAGCGCAGGCGGGAAGACAAGUUGGAAGUGAAAUCUAUGGGCUCAACCCAUAAACUGCUUUCAAAACUGUUCUUCUUGAGUAGUGCAGAGGUAGGCGGAAUUCCCGGUGUAGCGGUGGAAUGCGUAGAUAUCGGGAGGAACACCAGUGGCGAAGGCGGCCUACUGGGCACCAACUGACGCUGAGGCUCGAAAGUGUGGGUAGCAAACAGG
Molecule: ribosomal RNA, 253 nt
Filed under: Faecalibacterium prausnitzii
Lineage: Bacteria; Bacillati; Bacillota; Clostridia; Eubacteriales; Oscillospiraceae
Description: partial 16S ribosomal RNA
Rfam family: Bacterial small subunit ribosomal RNA
Source: RNAcentral